RNAcentral lists this transfer RNA (75 nucleotides) under Klebsiella pneumoniae. RNAcentral's name for it is "tRNA-Glu". It matches the Rfam family "tRNA". Rfam says of the family: Transfer RNA (tRNA) molecules are approximately 80 nucleotides in length. Their secondary structure includes four short double-helical elements and three loops (D, anti-codon, and T loops). The record is from RNAcentral. Lineage: Bacteria; Pseudomonadati; Pseudomonadota; Gammaproteobacteria; Enterobacterales; Enterobacteriaceae.
GUCCCCUUCGUCUAGAGCCCGGGACACCGCCCUUUCACGGCGGUAACAGGGGUUCGAAUCCCCUAGGGGACGCCA